Molecule: ribosomal RNA, 500 nt
Filed under: uncultured Glomeromycotina
Lineage: Eukaryota; Fungi; Glomeromycota
Description: partial small subunit ribosomal RNA
Rfam family: Eukaryotic small subunit ribosomal RNA
Source: RNAcentral
UCAAUAGCGUAUAUUAAAGUUGUUGCAGUUAAAAAGCUCGUAGUUGAAUUUCGGGAUCAGUACGCUGGUCGUGCCUUCGGUAUGAACUGGUGUCACUGGUUCCUCCCUUCUGAAGAACUGUCAUGCCAUUAAGUUGGUGUGGCGGGGAAUCAGGACUGUUACUUUGAAAAAAUUAGAGUGUUUAAAGCAGGCUCGCGCUUGAAUACAUUAGCAUGGAAUAAUGAAAUAGGACGUUUGAUCCUAUUUUGUUGGUUUCUAGGAUCGACGUAAUGAUUAAUAGGGAUAGUUGGGGGCAUUAGUAUUCAAUUGUCAGAGGUGAAAUUCUUGGAUUUAUUGAAGACUAACUACUGCGAAAGCAUUUGCCAAGGAUGUUUUCAUUAAUCAAGAACGAAAGUUAGGGGAUCGAAGACGAUCAGAUACCGUCGUAGUCUUAACCAUAAACUAUGCCGACUAGGGAUCGGAUGAUGUUAAUUUUUUAAUGACUCAUUCGGCGCCUUACG